CAGGAACGUUUCCAUGGCCUGGCUCCCAUGUAUUACCGCGGUGCAGCUAUAGCUAUUAAUUGGUCUAUGAUAUCACAAGCAUGGAGUCAUUUGUUUUUAGCGAGCUAAGAAGUGGGUUUUUGAAUUGCAAAGACAAGCAAAUCCAACUUUAAUAAUGUUCUUGGCUGGAAACAAGGCUGACUUGGAAGAGAAGAGAAAAGUAGGGACUGAGAAAAGUAGUCCUCACUUAGGAAGCAGAUAUCUAUCAGCCUAUCAGGGCAUAAAUGGUUAGGAAGUAGAAACGAUACGUAGUCUGCAGAAGGCAAGCAGAAAACAAGUAGUGAAGUCUUUGACCAUUGCGCAAUAGAUACACUGCUGAAUUCUCAUGGGACAAGUACACUCUUCAUGAAGGACCUUUUGAGGAGGUCGGAGCAAUGUGUUGAAACUUUUA
This is a long non-coding RNA of Rosa chinensis, 430 nucleotides long. RefSeq lists it as uncharacterized. The transcript is spliced from 4 exons. Lineage: Eukaryota; Viridiplantae; Streptophyta; Magnoliopsida; Rosales; Rosaceae. The record is from RefSeq and is a predicted model, not a curated record.